GACAGAUGCAACUGCAAAAACCAGUCAGGGAUGUCAGAGGAGGAACCGAGACCAGCAUGUGGCCUCAGUCCUGAAAAGCUACUUGUGUUCGCGCCAGGGGCCAAGCCCUACCAAGGGGUAAGGGCUAAGAAGAAACCGUAGCCCUCAAGCAGGGCCAGGCUGGGGGUCUCUGUUCUUGGCAGGGGCUGGGAAGAAGCCUGGGAUCCCUGGCGAAGCUGUGGAGACCGACAAAGGCCUGUGGGCAGCUGUUCUAUUCUUGGCUGCACUUUACACAAAAUUCCUUAAAAGAGAUGUGCGCUCGAGGCUUUCUGGUCAAGAUGACAGAGUGGCAGGACCACAAGCUCGCCUCUCCUCGUGACUACAACGAAACUACAGCUGACUGCUAGACAACCAUCGAAAAAAAGACUGGAACCUAGAAAAGAAGAUUGUCUUCAACUGGAAACAUAAAGAGGGAACCACAGCAGGACGGUAGGAGGGGCGUGCUCACAAUAUAACUGGGCCCCAUACCCUCUGGGUUGGUGGCCCACAAGCAGUAGAAUAAUUAAGUCGCAGAGGCCCUCCCACAGGAGUGAGAGUUCUAAGCCCCACAUCCGGCUCCCCAGCCCAGGGUUCUGACAUUGGGAGGAGGAAGAGACCCCAGGACAACUGGUUUUGAAGUCCAGUGGGGCUUAACUACAGGAGCCCCACAGGACUGGGGGAAACAGGCUUCACUCUCUUGGGAAGCUUACAUAGAAUCUUGAGUGCCAGGUCCAAAGGCAGAGGCAGUGAUUUUAUAGGAACCUGGGCCAGGCCUGCCUUCUGGUUUUGGAGGGUCUCCUGGGGACACAGGGGACAGCUGCAGCUCACCCAGGGGACAUAAAAGCUGGUGGCAGACAUUCCAGGAAUGUUCAUCUACAUGAGCUUUCCUGGAGGCUGAUAUCUUGACUGGAUCUUUAGCACCAAGAACUAGCCCUACCCAAUAGCCUAAAGGGAAGCCUCAGGCCAAACAACAUACAGGGUGGGAACACAGCCCCACCCAUCAGCAGACUUCCUAAGCCACAAAGGCCUCUAAACACAGCCCUUCCCACCAGAGAUCCA
RNAcentral lists this long non-coding RNA (1077 nucleotides) under Camelus dromedarius (Arabian camel). RNAcentral's name for it is "lncRNA (ENSCDRG00005000698.1)". The record is from RNAcentral. Lineage: Eukaryota; Metazoa; Chordata; Mammalia; Artiodactyla; Camelidae.